This 468-nucleotide ribosomal RNA is filed under the name uncultured bacterium. RNAcentral describes it as "partial 16S ribosomal RNA". It matches the Rfam family "Bacterial small subunit ribosomal RNA", at positions 28 to 507 of the family's 1533-position model. The record is from RNAcentral.
GACGAACGCUGGCGGCGUGCUUAACACAUGCAAGUCGAACGGACAGGCCCUGCUUUUGUUGGGUGCUCGAGUGGCGCACGGGUGAGUAACACGUGAGUAACCUGCCCUUGACUUUGGGAUAACUUCAGGAAACUGCGGCUAAUACCGGAUAGGAGCUCCUGCUGCAUGGUGGGGGUUGGAAAGUUUCGGCGGUUGGGGAUGGACUCGCGGCUUAUCAGCUUGUUGGGGGGGUAGUGGCUUACCAAGGCUUUGACGGGUAGCCGGCCUGAGAGGGUGACCGGCGACAUUGGGACUGAGAUACGGCCCAGACUCCUACGGGAGGCAGCAGUGGGGAAUAUUGCACAAUGGGCGGAAGCGUGAUGCAGCAACGCCGCGUGCGGGAUGACGGCCUUCGGGUUGUAAACCGCUUUCGCCUGUGACGAAGCGUGAGUGACGGUAAUGGGUAAAGAAGCACCGGCUAACUACGUG